CUGGCUGGCAGAGCUCUGCAGAAUGUUACAUGCUGUGAAUAUAACCCAGACUACUGAGGCAGAAAAGUAAUGUACCAGCAGAUUCCUCUGAGCAUCUGAAAUCAGCUUUGAAAAUGUCAAACAGCCCUUUGAUGCCCUGCUGCUCCUGGGUGCAACAUACUAAUUUUCCUCCAAGGGAGUCUCGGGAUGGGGAAUUGGUCUUGCUUUCAUUCAGGAGACUAUUUUGUUGGGGAUGAAGUCUCAACUUCACAAGACAGAGCCAAGUAUCUUCCAGAAAGCAGAUGAUUUUCCAGAUGAAUGACAAAUUCUGUUGUUUAUUAUUCCCCAGCUGAGGUUUUGCUGCUGCUAAACUCCACCAACAUCUUUUCUGCUAUCAGCCACAGCUCCACCAGGUUGCAUUUGAAACCACACUUCUGAGGCUUGUAGUCCUUACUUUUCACAGUUUGUAACCAAACACCUGACAGAAGCAAGAAAAGGAGAUUUAUUUUGACUUGGAUUAUGGUUUCAGAGGGACUUCAGUCUAUGAUGACUGGAAGAUAAGGUGGCAGAUACCUGAGGUUGAUGCCUGCUCACAUCCUGGAAGACAAGAAACACAGAAAGAAGAUGGAAACUGCCCCCUACUGACCUUCUUCCGCCAUCCUGGCCCACUUUCUAAAGACACAAUAGCUUUUGGUAUAGUACCUCCAAUGCGGGAUUGAGCAUUCAGGGCACGGACCGGUAAGAGAUAUUUCAGAUUCAGGCCAUAACAAAGGUGCAAAGGCUAAGAUAGCUGUAAGGAAUUCCAAGCACCAAAGGAGAGGCGGGAGGAAGGUGCUAUCAUAAAAGUGAGAUUGGGAAAUUUGCAAAACCAUUUGACAGACUUCUGAUAAAUCUUUCAACUGAAUCUCCAAGUGAACUGAAUCUCCAAGGGACUGACAUUACUGAAGUGCACAGAAGUCAUCAAAGGACAAGCUUAGAGGUGAAUAUAUUCAGAAGUGAGGAGAAUGUUCAGCCAAGCAGCUCAACAGAUAAAGGUGCUUUCUGCCACACCUGAUGACAUGAAUUGAUCCCUGGGACCCACACGGUAGAAAGAGUGAACUGAAUCACAUUGUUCUCCAGCCCUCCAUAUACACACCAUAGCGUGCUCCCCACUAAAUAAGUAAUGUAUAAAUAAAUAAAUGUAAUAGAAAUGGAGAGAAUUGUGAGGCACUCUACAUUAAUGGUUAGGAAUCAACAAGAAUAAAUGUAUGCCAACUA
Long non-coding RNA from Mesocricetus auratus (golden hamster), 1236 nucleotides. RefSeq lists it as uncharacterized. The transcript has 3 exons. The record is from RefSeq and is a predicted model, not a curated record. NCBI's taxonomy places the organism in Eukaryota, Metazoa, Chordata, Mammalia, Rodentia, Cricetidae.